RNAcentral lists this ribosomal RNA (393 nucleotides) under uncultured bacterium. RNAcentral's name for it is "partial 16S ribosomal RNA". It matches the Rfam family "Bacterial small subunit ribosomal RNA", at positions 523 to 918 of the family's 1533-position model. The record is from RNAcentral.
AUAAGGAGGAUGCAAGCGUUAUCCGGAUUUAUUGGGUUUAAAGGGUGCGUAGGCGGAGGAGUAAGUCAGGGGUGAAAUGCCGCAGCUCAACUGCGGAACUGACUUUGAUACUGCUUUUCUGGAGUUCGGAUGCCGUGGGAGGAAUGGGCAGUGUAGCGGUGAAAUACAUAGAUAUUGCCCAGAACACCGAUUGCGAAGGCAGCUCCCUGAUCCGGGACUGACGCUGAGGCACGAAAGCGUGGGGAUCAAACAGGAUUAGAUUCCCUGGUAGUCCACGCAGUAAACGAUGAGAACUAACCGUCGGCGAUAGAAUUUCGGUGGCCAAGCGAAAGCAAUAAGUUAUCCGCCUGGGGAGUACGUUCGCAAGAAUGAAACUCAAAGGAAUUGACGGGG